CCGAGUCUCCAAAUUUCCUAAACCACUGUGAACAUUACCUACAUCCGUUGUCCUCGGUGGGUGAUUCUAGGCGCGUCUUCGGCGUUAAACGGGACGUUCCCGCCAGCGGACCCCUAAACUCUGUCUCUGUAAUGUUGCAUCUCCGAGUCAAACUAUAAACUAAUCA
Molecule: unclassified non-coding RNA, 166 nt
Filed under: soil metagenome
Description: partial internal transcribed spacer 1
Source: RNAcentral